RNAcentral lists this transfer RNA (73 nucleotides) under Chloroflexota bacterium. RNAcentral describes it as "Chloroflexi bacterium tRNA-Trp". It matches the Rfam family "tRNA". From Rfam's summary of the family: Transfer RNA (tRNA) molecules are approximately 80 nucleotides in length. Their secondary structure includes four short double-helical elements and three loops (D, anti-codon, and T loops). Further hydrogen bonds mediate the characteristic L-shaped molecular structure. tRNAs have two regions of fundamental functional importance: the anti-codon, which is responsible for specific mRNA codon recognition, and the 3' end, to which the tRNAs corresponding amino acid is attached (by aminoacyl-tRNA synthetases). tRNAs cope with the degeneracy of the genetic code in two manners: having more than one tRNA (with a specific anti-codon) for a particular amino acid; and 'wobble' base-pairing, i.e. permitting non-standard base-pairing at the 3rd anti-codon position. The record is from RNAcentral. RNAcentral also lists the same sequence under 1 other name. Lineage: Bacteria; Bacillati; Chloroflexota.
ACGGCAGUAGCUCAAUAGGCAGAGCAGCGGUCUCCAAAACCGCCGGUUGCAGGUUCGAGUCCUGCCUGCCGUG